AAUAGAUACCCAGGUAGUCCACGCCGUAAACGAUGAGUGCUAAGUGUUAGAGGGUUUCCGCCCUUUAGUGCUGCAGCUAACGCAUUAAGCACUCCGCCUGGGGAGUACGGCCGCAAGGCUGAAACUCAAAGGAAUUGACGGGGGGCCCGCACAAGCGGUGGAGCAUGUGGUUUAAUUCGAAGCAACGCGAAGAACCUUACCAGGUCUUGACAUCCUCUGCCACUCCUAGAGAUAGGACGUUCCCCUUCGGGGGACAGAGUGACAGGUGGUGCAUGGUUGUCGUCAGCUCGUGUCGUGAGAUGUUGGGUUAAGUCCCGCAACGAGCGCAACCCUUGUUCUUAGUUGCCAGCAUUCAGUUGGGCACUCUAAGGAGACUGCCGGUGACAAACCGGAGGAAGGUGGGGAUGACGUCAAAUCAUCAUGCCCCUUAUGACCUGGGCUACACACGUGCUACAAUGGAUGGUACAAAGGGCUGCGAGACCGCGAGGUUAAGCCAAUCCCAUAAAACCAUUCUCAGUUCGGA
This 523-nucleotide ribosomal RNA is filed under the name uncultured bacterium. RNAcentral's name for it is "bacterial SSU rRNA". It matches the Rfam family "Bacterial small subunit ribosomal RNA", at positions 777 to 1297 of the family's 1533-position model. The record is from RNAcentral.